GUGGGGAAUAUUGGACAAUGGGCGCAAGCCUGAUCCAGCCAUACCGCGUGGGUGAAGAAGGCCUUCGGGUUGUAAACUGCUUUUGUACGGAACGAAACGGUCCGGGUUAAUACCCUGGGCUAAUGACGGUACCGUAAGAAUAAGCACCGGCUAACUACGUGCCAGCAGCCGCGGUAAUACGUAGGGUGCAAGCGUUAAUCGGAAUUACUGGGCGUAAAGCGUGCGCAGGCGGUUUUGUAAGACAGGCGUGAAAUCCCCGGGCUCAACCUGGGAAUUGCGCUUGUGACUGCAAGGCUGGAGUGCGGCAGAGGGGGAUGGAAUUCCGCGUGUAGCAGUGAAAUGCGUAGAUAUGCGGAGGAACACCGAUGGCGAAGGCAAUCCCCUGGGCCUGCACUGACGCUCAUGCACGAAAGCGUGGGGAGCAAACAGGAUUAGAUACCCGAGUAGUCC
Molecule: ribosomal RNA, 450 nt
Filed under: uncultured bacterium
Lineage: Bacteria
Description: partial 16S ribosomal RNA
Rfam family: Bacterial small subunit ribosomal RNA
Source: RNAcentral